This 372-nucleotide small RNA is filed under the name Vigna angularis var. angularis. Its description in RNAcentral is "Non-protein coding transcript". The record is from RNAcentral. Lineage: Eukaryota; Viridiplantae; Streptophyta; Magnoliopsida; Fabales; Fabaceae.
GAAUUCCUAAGUUGAAUCUGAGAACUGUUACCUAAAAGCAUUGGACCAGAGAAGUUUUAGAGCUAAGUUUGGAGCCACGAGAAGGAAUUCUAAGGCAGAGGAACGUCGGGGAACCGUUUGAAAGCAAGCUUAGGAGAAAACCAAGUCAGUGAUAUGCCGGUGGAGCAAGCCUUAGAUGGAGGAUCGACUGAAUAAUAGUUUUAAUAAUGAAACCUAUGUUUUUAUUUCUGUUUUAAGGUGUGGAGUGUAAUUAGUUUGAUUUAACAGUGAGGGUUUGUAUAAUAAUGAGGAAAACUCUUAUUCCUCCUUCUAUCAACUGUUCUAUUGUAUCAAUGAUGUAAGAACUCUAUUAUACUUUGAUGCUAUAAUUAU